This 380-nucleotide ribosomal RNA is filed under the name uncultured eukaryote. RNAcentral describes it as "partial 18S ribosomal RNA". It matches the Rfam family "Eukaryotic small subunit ribosomal RNA", at positions 592 to 976 of the family's 1831-position model. The record is from RNAcentral.
CAAUAGCGUAUAUUAAAGUCGUUGCAGUUAAAAAGCUCGUAGUUGGAUUUGUGGCGUACGGUGUGUUCCGGGCACUUGUUGUCUGAGUAACCUGCUGUUGCCAUCCUUGGGUGGAACCUGUGUGGCAUUAGGUUGUCGUGCAGGGGAUGCCCAUCAUUUACUGUGAAAAAAUUAGAGUGUUCAAAGCAGGCUUAUGCCGUUGAAUAUAUUAGCAUGGAAUAAUGAGAUAGGACUUUUUUGCUAUUUUGUUGGUUUGCGCAAAGAGGUAAUGAUUAAUAGGGACAGUUGGGGGUAUUCGUAUUCCAUUGUCAGAGGUGAAAUUCUUGGAUUUUUGGAAGACGAACUACUGCGAAAGCAUUUACCAAGGAUGUUUUCAUUAA